This 301-nucleotide ribosomal RNA is filed under the name uncultured bacterium. Its description in RNAcentral is "partial 16S ribosomal RNA". It matches the Rfam family "Bacterial small subunit ribosomal RNA", at positions 509 to 809 of the family's 1533-position model. The record is from RNAcentral.
CAGUAGCCACGGUAAAACGAAGGGUGCAAGCGUUAAUCGGAAUUACUGGGCGUAAAGCGUGCGUAGGCGGUUUGUUAAGUCUGCUGUGAAAUCCCCGGGCUCAACCUGGGAAUGGCAGUGGAUACUGGCAAGCUAGAGUGUGUCAGAGGAUGGUGGAAUUCCCGGUGUAGCGGUGAAAUGCGUAGAGAUCGGGAGGAACAUCAGUGGCGAAGGCGGCCAUCUGGGACAACACUGACGCUGAGGCACGAAAGCGUGGGGAGCAAACAGGAUUAGAUACCCCUGUAGUCCCUGUCUCUUAUAA